Molecule: transfer RNA, 88 nt
Filed under: Nitrososphaerota archaeon
Lineage: Archaea; Thermoproteati; Nitrososphaerota
Description: Thaumarchaeota archaeon tRNA-Phe
Rfam family: tRNA
About the family: Transfer RNA (tRNA) molecules are approximately 80 nucleotides in length. Their secondary structure includes four short double-helical elements and three loops (D, anti-codon, and T loops).
Source: RNAcentral
GCCAGGGUAGCUCAGCCUGGGAGAGAGAACAGCCUCUAACACUCGGCUGAAGACCGAGCUGUCGUCGGUUCAAAUCCGGCCCCUGGCA